UAAUCUCCUCCCGGACAAUGUCCCACUCUUCCUCAUCAGCCCAAACCGGGUCCCACCCGGGGUUGGUCAUCUCCAACGGAGCGUCCCCCCAUAACUCCUUCAAGUCCUCCUCCCUCCAAUUCUCCGGGUCCUCUGGAAAAUCGAAAAGGUCCUCAUAAAAGACAUAGCUUUCGUCCUCCUCGUCCUGCCUUCUCCUCACUCUCUUCCCCUGGAGCACCUGAGAGAAGAGCUUCAUGUUCACCUCGGGUGUAUUAUCGGCCUCGGGAAUAUCUUCACCGGGUCGGAUGUACUUGAGUGAAUCAUCCGCUUCACCGCCAUCUGGGCCGCCACCACCUCCAUCUCCUUCGUACUCGGACGACUCGUCGGAGUCGUACUCAGACUCUGAGUCGUCGUCGGAGGAGAGAUUUGCUUUUUCCUCAUCUGGGUCGGAAUUCGAGUCGGAUUUUUGGUUCUUGAGUUGGGAUUCAGUGGGUUUGGGCGAGUCUUGGUCCGGCAUUGUUGGGGGAGUCUGGGGAAGAAGAAGAAGAUAAGGUAGAGAAGCAGCUGCAGAGACAAAGAGGGUUUUUGCAGUUUGGUGUUCUUUACACAUUAAAAUUAAAAAACAAAAAAACAAAAAACAAAAGCAAAAAAACAAAAAAUAAAUUAAAUCUUAGCCCAUGUCUUCAAUUUGGGCCUGGGUUACUCAAUUGAAGACCAAAUAAACUGAAAAUUUUCACAUGGGUCCGAGUUUGCAAAUGUAAAGGCCCAAAACUAUUUCCAACAAUCAAUAUUUUAAACUGCUCUAAUUCUAAUAUAUGAGAAAGAGAUCAAUGUGCAAGUAGGCAAGUACAUUGCCUUACAUCCGGUGUUUGAAAUAUCCUGGAUAUGAUCGAUAUUUCUACGAAAAUAUUAUAAACUCAGGGAACGAUAUGGAAAGAGGGGGUGAAGUUUAGACUUCACCCCAUAUCCACGAUAUUUCUGAAAAUCAGUCAAUUUCCUCGAUAUUUUCAAGAAAUAUCUAUGAGCCUAUGCAUUUUUUUAUUUUUUUUCAUUUCUUUCUUUAUGGUUUUAGUUUACUUCAAUAAAACUUGUACUGCUUUCAUGACGAAAAUUUCAAUUAAGUUAUUAUAAUUUAUUUUUUCUAGUGAAAUGCUUUAUUUUAUUACUUGUCAUUAUAAGGAAGUUUUUCUUCUCACAUAUCACAUACUUAUUGUUUACACAAUAUCUAAUCAUUAAUUCUUGAUUCAUACGUGUAUUGUGGCUUCAUAUGACAUUCCCUAAAAAAUAAAUUUAAAUUUCUAUGUUUGUGAGCAAAUUUCCAUCAUUUUCAUCAAAGACAAUCAAUAUCGAUAUACAAUAUAUUCAUUGAUAUUUUCACGAAUUUGCCUAUUGAUAUUUCCACCAAUGCCGAUAUUUUUAACAUUGCUUACAUCUACCUUUUUCCAAAUUCUUUGUGGGGUGGUUUUAUGUUGUCCCAAGUUAUCAUCCUACUUCGUGCAGUAUGGUGAUAGUGCUUGAAUUGCAAUUGUAAAUUGUUCAUUGAUUUAUUACAUGAUGAUACCAUUGUCCUAAAAAUCUCCACCUAGUAUUUGGGCUUAGCGUGGCCUAAGCCCCACCCAGGUGCUAGGCAGCUGGCCACCGCUCCAAUUAGUUCUUAAGCAUAUGAAAAUUAAGAAAGUGUGUUUGGACACGCUUAGGCGUCCGCCUAACACAUCUAGGUGUCUGCCUAAACCCGCCUAGAUUGCGACUCUCACUUAAACAAUGUCCCACUCUUCCUCAUCAGCCCAAACCGGGUCCCACCUGGGGUUGGUCAUCUCCAACGAAGUGUCCCCCCCAUAACUCCUUCAAGUCCUCCUCCCUCCAAUUCUCCGGGUCCUCUGGAAAAUCGAAAAGGUCCUCAUAAAAGACAUAGCUUUCGUCCUCCUCGUCCUGCCUUCUCCUCACUCUCUUCCCCUGGAGCACCUGAGGGAAAAGCUUCAUGUUCACCUCGGGUGUAUUAUCGGCCUCGGGAAUAUCUUUGCCGGGUCGGAUGUACUUGAGUGAAUCAUCCGCUUCACCGUUAUCUGGGCCGCCACCACCUUCAUCUCCUUCG
RNAcentral lists this long non-coding RNA (2071 nucleotides) under Malus domestica (apple). RNAcentral describes it as "long non-coding RNA (MDOM_LNC002680)". The record is from RNAcentral. Lineage: Eukaryota; Viridiplantae; Streptophyta; Magnoliopsida; Rosales; Rosaceae.